This 79-nucleotide transfer RNA is filed under the name Bacillota bacterium. RNAcentral describes it as "Firmicutes bacterium (anaerobic digester metagenome) tRNA-Arg". The stretch from base 8 to 71 matches the Rfam family "tRNA", at positions 5 to 66 of the family's 71-position model. Rfam says of the family: Transfer RNA (tRNA) molecules are approximately 80 nucleotides in length. Their secondary structure includes four short double-helical elements and three loops (D, anti-codon, and T loops). Lineage: Bacteria; Bacillati; Bacillota. The record is from RNAcentral.
GGCCAAACCGUAGCUCAGGGGAUAGAGCAGCGGUUUCCUAAACCGCGUGCCGCAGGUUCGAUUCCUGCCGGGGCCGCCA